Long non-coding RNA from Falco peregrinus (peregrine falcon), 2605 nucleotides. RefSeq lists it as uncharacterized. The record is from RefSeq and is a predicted model, not a curated record. NCBI's taxonomy places the organism in Eukaryota, Metazoa, Chordata, Aves, Falconiformes, Falconidae. The transcript is spliced from 3 exons.
AAAGGCCCUAAAAACUUGAUCUUCUGUCCAGUCUCCAUUUUGGUAUUUGGGAUGAUGCUUUGCGUUAUACACCCCCCGAGUUUUUCUGGGUCUCAAGGAAGCACCUUACUGUGAGGGAUUCAUGGUUCCUGGUCCUUAAACAGUCCUGAUUUUCCAGAGCAGGACCUGCUCCCGUUGCACAUCUGAGCAGCAGCAAUCAGCCCAAGACCUGACCUCGCCUACUGAUGACAUCUUCGCUGUUUUAACACAACUGCAGAACAAGUUAAUAACUUAAACUUGCACAGCAUUUAGCACCCUUGGAUUUCAGGACCCUGCCAGCCCUCAUGUAAGCCUUCAAGCUUCCCUCAGAGGAAGACAGUGGAAUAAAAAGUGGGAAAAGCAACUCUGGACUUGCAGCACUGCAACAGCACCACCAAGAGCAGCAUGUCGGGGCUGGCAAAGGGUCACUUCUCCCUCAGGGAUCACUUGUGCCUAGUGCUAAGAGCAACAAGGCUGCCCAUGCCCAUGGUGACAUUCCAGGGGCACACUGUAUCCUGGCCCCUGGGCACAUGUUCAGGGCCAAGACUGUCACUCCCUAGCCUGGCUGCUGGAUCUGCAGUCAUGAAGGCCCUCAAAAUAUUUUCCAGGCUUUAAAGUAUCAUGGGAUCAGAGCAUGGAAGAGUCACAGAGGGCUGGGCUGAGUUACAGCAGGGCUCUUGGCUCAGAGGGCACUGGGUGCUCUGCUGAGGGUGCUCUGGGUUGGGGAGAUGAAGAUGGGUGGCCCUGUGAGGCAUCAUCAGUGCACGUUGCACUUCCAGUCUUCUUGUCGUUGCACAUGCAGAAGUGUGAACUGAAACGGUCAGAGAAAGCUUCUGAGAAACACGGAGUCAAACUGUUCCAUCUUAACUACUCCACUCCUGUCUACAGAGCAUUUGCUGUGGCAGCUGUUAAUGUCAUGUGUGCUCACUUUUGCGAAUCCUUCAGACAACACCAGCUGGGCUUGGAAAAAGAGAAAAAUAAAAUGUUUUGGUUCACCUCAAAAUGGUUUCAGUGCUAGUUUAUUGUAGAAGUCUAGAGUGGCACAAAAAGAGACUGUUCCAGCUUUUUUUUCAUCCAGAAGAGCAAAGUUCUUCCAGAAACUCAUUAACAAGUGACCAGAAAGACCUUACAGCUGUGUGAGAUCAGCAGUCAAAAAUGUUUUCUGCAAACAAUGACCUGUCCUUAAGGGGAGAUGUUUAGCUGGCAAGAAUAUAAAAUAUGGUGAGGUUACAUAGACACAAACUAUAUUUAAAUUAUACAGUUAUAUACUGUAGCUUAUAUAUAUAAUUCCUGUAUAUCUAUAUACAAGUGCACAAUGCAUACAUGCACAGCACUGUGCAGUAUGCCUCUAUACUAUGUUAUGCGUUUAUAAAGAUCUGACACCAAUGAUGACAUCAUUUGUCUCCACUGCACACUGCAAAAAUCUACACAAACACACAGCGUGCAAAGGGUGUAGUAGCUCCUUGCCUUGGGUUCAGUGCAGGCAUUUCCAGUAUACUGUAAUAUGCAUCAAGUAACCAUUGCAGUGAGACUCAUGAAUUGAGGCUAGGGAAGGAUCAUCUGAUAUGGUAUCUGUUACGAUCUCCUGUACCUCAAUAAAAGCCACUGAAACUGUCCAAUCCUCCGUUGUCUCUAAGUAUGGUUUUCUCCUACACCUACAAGCACUUCUAGCUGAGAACUCACCAUCUUUAGGCUAAGUUGUUCCAGUAUUGAAUCAUUUUCAUUUUAAAAUACGUUCUUUGUUUCUAGUCUGAAUUUCCCCCAUCAUUAAAUGCUGGUUUACUUUCUUUUACUAGAUUAAAGACUUUUCUAUUAAAAAUAAGUCCAGAUGUAAAUAUCUGAAGGUGCCUUCUAAAUUCUGUUUGGUUAAGUAAUGAGACAGAGCUUAGGACUCUUGCUACAAAAUGAGUCUCCAGUUGUCAGGUAUUCUGGUCUUGUUGCUGAACUUUUCCAUUUUUUUCCAGUGUUCCUUUUGAAGUGGGACAGAGCACCACUAAUAAUCUCACUAAUGCCAUAGGCUGAGAUAUUUGCAUUUCUUCCCCUAGUAUCAUGUUUAAAAACACUAAUAGCAAAUAUUUCUGCUGCUCUUUACAAAUCUCCAUUCUCUGUAACGUUCAAUAACAAAAUCACCAACACCAUGUUGCUAUACAAAACUCGGCAAUUAAAGUCUGUAAUGUGAUUAUAGAUUACACUAAAGCCUUUUAAACAUGACCUGGCUUCCUGUGUCACACAGCAGCAUAUGUUUGAGAAUCACUUUCUAUGCAUUCAAUAAAUACAGAAAAACAGUUAAAUAUAAACCUUAUUGGAUGCCAGACACCCUGGUCCAUAGUAACACAUCUACCACUUCCUUAUUUCUGUUGGCUGCUGGUUUAAGCUAGAGAUAAACCCUUCCUAUGCUUUUAAAAGACAAUACUGCAUUGUAAGAACAGAUUCUGAAUCAGAGCAAGGAUGGAGGAAUAACACCAUGUGAACUGUCUCCUCUCCUUUCAUUUUGCUUUGCCCCUUUUUUGAUUAUAUGAAGUAAUUAAAGAUACAUUCAGGAUUUGCUGAACAGUUCUCUGUAUAACUUAUGCGUUAUGUAAUGAUA